Molecule: ribosomal RNA, 145 nt
Filed under: Cyrtandra pulchella
Lineage: Eukaryota; Viridiplantae; Streptophyta; Magnoliopsida; Lamiales; Gesneriaceae
Description: 5.8S ribosomal RNA
Rfam family: 5.8S ribosomal RNA
About the family: 5.8S ribosomal RNA (5.8S rRNA) is a component of the large subunit of the eukaryotic ribosome. It is transcribed by RNA polymerase I as part of the 45S precursor that also contains 18S and 28S rRNA. Functionally, it is thought that 5.8S rRNA may be involved in ribosome translocation.
Source: RNAcentral
ACGACUCUCGGCAACGGAUAUCUCGGCUCUCGCAUCGAUGAAGAACGUAGCGAAAUGCGAUACUUGGUGUGAAUUGCAGAAUCCCGUGAACCAUCGAGUCUUUGAACGCAAGUUGCGCCCGAAGCCAUCAGGUUGAGGGCACGUC